RNAcentral lists this long non-coding RNA (5794 nucleotides) under Xyrichtys novacula (pearly razorfish). Lineage: Eukaryota; Metazoa; Chordata; Actinopteri; Labriformes; Labridae. The record is from RNAcentral.
GGAGGAGGCGGGGUCAAUGAAAGGAGGAGGCGGGUUUGAAUCUCAAGCCUGAAUGUUCCAAACAGAAAAUGUGGUCAGGAUUACAGCUGGACCAGGACCCUAAAGAUCCAGGUCUUGGACCUGGACCUCUUUACCGCCAAAGAACAAUUUAAUAAAGUCAAACUGUCGCUGUUUGUGAAAACGGAACGACUGUUUCCUGGCGUUUGUAUGUUUGCCGUCAGCUAAACAACUUUUGAACUCCAAACACACAAACCUGUCGGUAAAAACUCCUGAAAACAAAAUGAAGUUUCUGUUAAAAACUCUUCGUCUUCGUUCACACGGCGGGUUCUGAAGCAAAGUUCAGAUUUUUAGUUAACUCCGAUCUUUUUGUGCGGUCGUUCACGUUACAACAACGAAUACGUGUGUGAAGUGACCCUCAUGAACACAAAACACAAAUAUCUCUCCGCUCCUGUUUGUGUCGAACAACGGUGACGUUUGUCUCAUAUUGAUGACGUAAAGGUCGGAUGAACUCGACCUGAGCGUCACACUGCAGUCACAUCAGAACUCUUGUGAUCAGCUGAGGAGUCCGGCGAUCCGCAGAGGAACGGAAAGAAGUCGGUGUAAAUUGACACGUUAACGUGAAUGUUUACGAUCAUCUACGAUCGGAGGAUACGACCUUUUAGGAGACGAUCAGGAUGAAGGUGGAGGUCGGGGGUAAACCUUGAGAUGUUGUUUAAAACUGAGGCUGCAGCAUCUAUGAUUUCCUUUUCUUCGUUGGAUGGAUCUCAAAUGGACUAAUUGGACUUUUCUACCUAGCGUCCAAAAAAGUGUUAGAUUUAGAUUCUGAUCCGCAGAAGAACGGAAAGAAGUCGGUGUAAAUCGACACGUUAACGUGUAUUUUUACGAUCAUCUACGAUCGGAGGAUACGACCUUUUCGUAGAACCCUGAUCACUAUUCUUUGUCAGUCUGUGGUUACAGCAGCAGAUCGACCGAGACCAGACAAACAGUCGACCCUGAAAUAUGAGACUCUUUCUCAGGUGGAUGAAACGUGAUCAUGUGACCAGAAACAGACGUCUUCAAAACUUUCGACGCCACCUGAGAGGCCUGAACGCACGCACAGACGCCGCCAUUUUACCUUACCUUCUCCAAAACACAUGCAUGAACUCGCUCACUCCCUCUCAUGCACACAUUAUAUGCUCGCACGUCCGCACAGACACGCACACCCAACCCCCACCCGAUCCUCCGCUUGCCUCACACACACACACAAACACACACACACACACACACACCCUUUCUUUCCCCCUCACACACACACACACAGACCAAAACACACAUACCUCCCCCACACACACUCAUGCGUGCGCACACACACGCGCACACACACACACACACACACCCUGUUCCCCUCCCCCUCCCAUUCCAUACCAGGGCACAUCGUGACAAAACAAAGAACACCCCAUAAUAGUCAGAGUCGCACAGUAUGCAUGGUAACCAGUUAUGUCAGAGAUGAAGGCAUUGUGUGUGUCUGUGUGUGUGUGUGUUUGAUAGUAUAUAUGAACACACACACACACACCGAGGAUACACAAAAUUACCCAAACAUUCCACAAACCCACAUAUACACACCUCACGCACACACACACACACACACACACACACACACACACACACACACCAGGAUAUACACAGACACAAAAUUACAGGCUAACCACCAACCAGAUACACACUCAAACACACACACACACACACACAUACAGAAGUCCAUAUACAUAAUGGGAAACAUGAAUAAGAACAGAGCGCACAAAACCACACACACACACACACACACACACACACACACUGGGGCGCAAACAAAGACCCGCAAUAUGACAAAAACACACAAAAUACACAAAAGACACAAAAGAAAACAGGAAGAAACAACAAAUGAAGACACGCAUCAGUGAAAUAAAAACACAAUAAACAGGUCAGCUGAUGUUGUGUAACUGACCUGUACAAACACACACACACACACACACACACAAAGAGAGAGAGAUAUGACAAACUAACACAAAGUGUGACAACAAAGAAACACACAAACAAGAACACACAACAGCCCAGGUAAACCUGCAGACACACACACACACACACACACACACACACGUUGAAUGGAUUUAAAGAGUGUGUCUAUGAGGAUACAAGACAGCAGUGUGUGAUCAAUCAAUGAUCAAUCAACGAAGUGUGUAGAAAUGAUCGAUGAAUGAAGAUUUUCAGUUCAACGUCAUCAAAACAAAAAGACCCAAAAUCUCCCUCAAACCCUCCAGACAAGGAGGAAAACAAUCAAUCAAUCAAUCAAUCAGUCAAUCCAACUAUGAAUAGAUCAGUCUGUCCCUCCGUCCGUCAUCUAUCUGUCCACGGACACAGUCCUCUCAGGUGGUCCAGGUGAGUCCAGAUUCAGGAAGUCGAUUUUUUCUGACAAACCUAAAGGGCGGAUCUGUAAAACUGCUUUAACACUAAUCAAUACAUAUCUGAUUGAUCCAAACCUGAUCAGUUUACUGGUUUGAAGACCUGAGGCGAUCAUGAUCCUCAGACACCGACAAACAAACAGACAGACAGACAGACAAACAAACAAUCAAACAAACAAAAAAUAAAACAAACAAACAAAGAAGCCACGCCCCCAACCAAAACGCCGCUCUAUAGCCACAGAUCAUGCUCAGAACCAGUGCUUAAUUUAAGCCGGAGUGCGCUCUGGGACCUCUUCGAUCUGAUCCGGCGCCUGUUUGAUCCCUGUCAGUAAAUAAACUGUGUUUUUAUUUUUGUUCUUCUGUUUUUUUUCUCUCUGAAGUGACUUUUAUUUUUUAUGCCUUUUACUCAGAAAUGAGUUAAAACAGGGAAAAAGAGAUUUCUGUCGUCAUGUGUCACAGCGCAAUGUGCAUUGGGAUGGUUUUGUUUUCGCACCGACACCGCGCGCAGAUAGGUAAAUGUUAUACUAGGUAGGUUUGGAAAUUAAGCACUGCUCAGAACAGCACCUGACUUCAUCAACAGGACAUACAGGGUCACAGACACCAAACAUCUUUUUAACUUUGACUCAUUUCUUUAACAAAGAGACUAAACACAACUCACCUACUCUCUUCCAGCAGCAAGACCUCAGGUCAGUCCGUCAUACUGAUCAUUUUACAGACGCGGUAGUUCUUCUGUCUUAGCGUCUCGGUCUGAUUGUAUUUCCAUGAAGAAAUGAUCAUAAAUGUUCUUCCUUGAGCUGGUGAACCGUAUGGUGAGUAGCGUAUCGUAUGUAGCAUGUAGCUCACUGGCUCGCUAGCACCCCCUACAGAGCGCCAUGAAUGUCGGCUUUUUCCGAACUUCUGGAAAUUUUACAGGCACGUGUAUCUAAACGAGAUCUUUGAUUUUGCGCACUUGGUCUUUAUUCUCAGACACACAGUUAAAGAGUCAUCGGCCUAUUUUGGCCAUUUGCAUAUGUCACGCCAAACGCUACUUGAAAUGAUCAUAAAUGUUCUUCCUUGAGCUGCGGCACCCCGCUGUAGUCUGUAAUGGACUGGCCUGAGGUCUCUCUACAAACAAGCGUCUGCUGGAAGAGAGUAGGUGAGUUGUGUUUAGUCUCUUUACUAAAGAAAUGAGUCAAAGUUAAAAAGAUGUUUGGUGUCUAGUACUAUGACUGUGACCCUAUAUGUCCUGUUGAUGAAGUUAGGUGCUGUUCUGAGCAUUAUUUGUGGCUAUAGAGUGGCGUUUUGGUUGGGGGCGUGGCUCUCUGUAUUUCUAUCCUGCGGUCGUUACUAAAGUUGGUAUAACUAGAGAAGGAAGCGGUCGACAACAUUCGGUAACCUAAAUUAAUUUUAUGCCGGAAUAUCCCUUUAAGUGUUUCUACAUCGAUCCUUUAAAUCCGAGUCAAUGUCGGUUCGACUUGAAAUCGUCCAAUCAGCUCUCAGAAUGGUUCAUGUUUUGUUGAUUUUAGUUCCCAGUCUUGAACUUUCUCCUCACUGACGUAGAAACGCUCCUCCCCUUCCCCCCCCCAUCUCCUCUUCCUCCCCUUCCUCCUCCUCUUCCUCCUCCUGCUCCUCCCCUUCCUCCUCCUCCUCCUCCUCUUCCUCCUCCUGCUCCUCCUCUUCCUCCUCCUCUUCCUCCUCCUCCUCCUCCUCCUCCUCCUCUCAGCUGUAAACAAAUGUUGGAUUGUUGUUCCUUCUCCUGGUCUUCCUCUCCUCAUGUGUAUCUUUGUUUAGGCUCAAUGUGCGCGCGCUCGUGGCUGUGUGUGUGCGUGUGCACGUGAACACAUGUGUAUCAGUGCACGUGUGCGUCCUCUGAGCGACGAGGAAAAAAAAUAAAAGAGAGAGAGAGAGGUCAGGUUUCUAUCCCAUGAUGCAACUGCCCCCCCCCCCCCCCAACACACACACACACACACACACCUCCAGCCCCUCCCCUUCUUCGUUGCCCAUAGCAACAUACUUAUAAUGAGGUCAGAUGGACAUCCAAUAAUAUUCACCAGCCGAACGAGCCGUGGAGAGCGGGGCGUGUUGGGACAGACAGCAGUCAAAGUGUCAGAGGCUGAAUCAGCAACAAGACAAGAUGGCCGCCGCUGCUGAGAGGCCUGAAGUUCCACUAGAGGAGACUGGACCGGGUCUGGGACCGGUCCAGGAUCUCAGACACCCAACCUGUUUGUGAAGGAUCAAGUCCAGAACCUUCAACUCUGAGAGUUUAGUAGAGACAAAAACAUCAGACCGAUCCGAACCUGAGAGGAACACAGUCGAACCCGGAGAUCAGAGAGAACAUCUAUGUUUCAGAGCAGAUCUAGGUUAAAGAUCAAACAUGUUUCCAGAGUCUGUCUCCGGGUUCCUGCUCGAUCCUCAUAAAGAGCGUCGACUCGGCCCUGCAGGAGGGUCAGACCAGGGUUCGAGUACAGAGGUGGAGAAGUCUGAGGUUUAACUAGAUCUAGAUCUUCUAUGUCUAUCUCAGGUGAAGUUCUCUCUCUUUCCUUUGAGCUCCUUUAAGGCCUCGACCCUGAACACCUCAAAACACGGUAAUAGAAGAGUGAGGCAUGAUGGGAAAAACAGAGGAGCAGAGCGGUUUUCAGACAAAAGAUCCUCCACGCCACGUCGGUCUGAAGGAUCCAUUUUGAGCUGCCAAUCAAAGAGAACCCGGGUUAUCUACAUGCAUACUGUCUCCACUGAGACCUGUUCAAAACCAAUGGGACGACUCCCCCUAGUGUUCGCUGUCAGGUACUGCGUUAACCCUCCAGCGUCCACAUCUGUAGUCUGGAAACUGAGCAUGAUGAUAAAAGUUUGAUCUUCAUAUUUGUCGUUUCUUUCAUGUCAUGGCUCCUCGUUAUCUCUAAUAAACCUCGAUAAGACGAGCUAAAUGUCACCACAUCUAUUUUCAAGGACUCUAAAGUCUAAACGACAGUAAACCAGGAGUUCAUGAAGGUCAAGGCGGACACAUUUAUAAAAAAAACAUCUACAAACUUUUUUAGCUGUUUUCUCAGACGUCCUUCAUAACAAACUAAAAGUUUUCUAAAAGGUUCGACGUUCACACGGAAGGUUCUGAUGCACACUUCGGAUUUUUUUGUUCAAUCUGAUCGUUUUGUGCGGUCGUUCACAUCACAACAACAACAAGCACAAAUUGGUUUCCGAACACUGGUGACAUUUGUCUCAUAUCGAUGACGUAAAGGUCGGAUGAACUCGACCUGAGCGUCACACUGCAGUCACAUCAGAUACAUAUCUGAUUUAUAUCCACAUACAGAAGAGGGUCGGAUCAGAACCAAUCAGAACUGACCUGUUCACACUUAGAUGAAAACAUCAGAUAUGAGUCACAGAUGGUUAAAACAUCAGAAUGA